GAUGAAGAACGUAGCGAAAUGCGAUAAGUAAUGCGAAUUGCAGAAUUUCCGUGAAUCAUCGAAUCUUUGAACGCACAUUGCGCCCGCCAGUAUUCUGGCGGGCAUGCCUGUUCGAGCGUCAUUUCAACCAUCAAGCCCUGCUUGCGUUGGGGUCCUGCGGCUGCCCGCAGGCCCUGAAAACCAGUGGCGGGCUCGCUAGUCACACCGAGCGCAGUAAUACAUCUCGCUUUGGGCGUGCGGCGGGUUCUUGCCGUUAAACACCCCCUUUUUACCAAGGUUGACCUCGGAUCAGGUAGGAAUACCCGCUGAACUUAAGCAUAUCAAUAAGCGGAGGA
RNAcentral lists this unclassified non-coding RNA (335 nucleotides) under soil metagenome. Its description in RNAcentral is "partial contains 5.8S ribosomal RNA, internal transcribed spacer 2, and large subunit ribosomal RNA". The stretch from base 1 to 121 matches the Rfam family "5.8S ribosomal RNA", at positions 35 to 154 of the family's 154-position model. The record is from RNAcentral.